RNAcentral lists this ribosomal RNA (142 nucleotides) under uncultured Alphaproteobacteria bacterium. Its description in RNAcentral is "partial 16S ribosomal RNA". It matches the Rfam family "Bacterial small subunit ribosomal RNA", at positions 537 to 678 of the family's 1533-position model. The record is from RNAcentral. Lineage: Bacteria; Pseudomonadati; Pseudomonadota; Alphaproteobacteria.
AGCGUUGUUCGGAAUUACUGGGCGUAAAGCGCACGUAGGCGGCUUUCCAAGUUGGGGGUGAAAUCCCUGGGCUUAACCCAGGAACUGCUCUCAAAACUGGAAGGCUAGAGUCCGAGAGAGGUGAGUGGAAUUUCCAGUGUAG